CCUACGGGUGGCAGCAGUGAGGAAUAUUGGUCAAUGGUCGCGAGCCUGAACCAGCCAAGUCGUGUGAAGGAUGACUGCCCUACGGGUUGUAAACUUCUUUUAUAAGGGAAUAAAGUGAGGCACGCGUGCCUUUUUGUAUGUAUUUUAUGAAUAAGGAUCGGCUAACUCCGUGCCAGCAGCCGCGGUAAUACGGAGGAUUCGAGCGUUCUCCGGAUUUAUUGGGUUUAAAGGGUGCGUAGGCGGACUGUUAAGUCAGCGGUAAAAGCCCGGGGCUCAACCCCGGCGAGCCGUUGAAACUGGCUGUCUUGAGAGGUCGAGAGGUAUGCGGAAUGCGCGGUGUAGCGGUGAAAUGCUUAGAGAUUGCGCAGAACUCCGAUUGCGAAGGCAGCAUACCGGCGGCGAUCUGACGCUGAGGCACGAAAGCGUGGGUAUCGAACAGGAUUAGAUACCCCUGUAGUC
This 459-nucleotide ribosomal RNA is filed under the name uncultured bacterium. RNAcentral describes it as "partial 16S ribosomal RNA". It matches the Rfam family "Bacterial small subunit ribosomal RNA", at positions 338 to 795 of the family's 1533-position model. The record is from RNAcentral.